This 2168-nucleotide unclassified non-coding RNA is filed under the name Nilaparvata lugens (brown planthopper). RNAcentral's name for it is "kelch domain-containing protein 1, transcript variant X1". The record is from RNAcentral. Lineage: Eukaryota; Metazoa; Arthropoda; Insecta; Hemiptera; Delphacidae.
CAUGGUCCAAUAAAGUGAGGUUAUGAGUCAAAGUGAAAAAGCAAAAAGAGAAAACUUCCAAAUUAACUUAGUUGUGCAGUAAAAUUAGUGCAUUAGUAGUAAAAUUUAUUUUUCUUACUACUGAAAAAGUCUUGAUGAGAGUCUUCAAUUCAAAUAAGUCAGGUUGAAAGGUCUGGUAUCAGCGUCUAUAUUUAUAGUAGUACGAUUAGAGUCGCACAAAGUGUAGCCUAGGCUGCACAUGUUUGUAUUGAUGUAAAUGAUGUCAUCAUUAGCAGAUAGUGAUUAUGAGCCGAAUGAUUCCAUUGAUAGUGACCUUUACAACGACGAUAUAUGCGUACCUGAGCCUGAUCACAGUGAGGUAUUCUCGAGAUCAGGUCACGUGGCAAUAGCAUUCGAAAACGAGCUUAUCGUCUGGGGCGGUACUCGCUGUGUUUCCGCACCAGCUAAUGAUUACUGUGAUCCAAAUAUACUAUGGGUAUACAAUACUCUGAAUGAUGUCUACACCAAACAUGCCAUUUUCGGUGUAGCACCCCCUGGAAGCUGUGGCUCUUGUGCUGUUAUACAUGACGGCUCAUUGUAUAUAUUUGGAGGAUUUACUCAAACUGGUGAGACGUAUCACAACCUGGAGUACUCGAAUCUCCUUCACCGACUGGACUUGACGGCCAACAGACUCACGUGGAAUCACAUUUCUCCCAAAGGCACGAGUCCGCUUCCCUGUGAUAAGUUGGCCGGCUGGGUGUAUGGCGACAAGCUGUACUUCUUCGGAGGGUUCGGCCGGCACGUGGCGAGCUUCGCCGACUCGCAAUGGAUACCCGAAGAGCAGCCAACCGGCCGCGGCUGGAACAACCAGCUGUUCUGUUACGACCCCGCCACCAAGCAGUGGCAGUGGCCGCGCACCUACGGGCCCAAGCCGCAACCAAGGGCGGCCCACUCGGCCGCCAUCCAGGGCAACUGUGUCUACGUGUUCGGCGGCCGACUCGACGACGUCCGCAACGACCAGCUGCACCGGCUCAACAUGGACACCAUGACCUGGAGUGGAGACCUGAAAUGCAUGAUGAAGGGUCCCCAUUGGCCGCCUGGGCGCUCGUGGCAUACAUUCACAUUCACCGCGCCCAAUGUAGCUUUCAUCCAUGGAGGACUGUCCAACUCCGACCAAACCCUAGAUGACGUGUGGAAGCUUACCAUUGAAGAUGAUGCGAUUGAAUGUGAAAUGCAGCCAAGCCACAUCAUAGAGGGAGGCGCAGCCUGCCCGCUACUAUGGCAUAAGAGUGUUUUCUUUCAAAAAGGAAACGAAAUCAUCACAAUUGGAGGCCUCAAAGAGCUGAAUAAUAAUGAGUAUUCCAAUCAUCCUGAAAGAUUGCUCAACUUACGUCUUUCACCAAAAUCAUUGUUUAGGCAAAGUCUUGAUGCGCUGAAGAGAUGUGGCCAAUUGCCUGAAGCAGCACUCAACAGUUUGCCUGCACAGUUGAAAGUCACCGUUAGCAGAAGAAUGCCGGAGACAGAUUUUCACUUUUCAUUUUACGAUCGAGAUGAAUUCAACGAGUUCGACGAUGAUUUCUUCGAUUACGAUUUAGAUCAAGAUUAUGAUUUAAAUAACCAGGAAUUCAGUGAUUAUGAUGACUAUCUUGACUUUAUGGAAUUCCUCGAUUAUAGUGAUUAGUAUUGGUGAAGUCGAGUUUAUAAGAUUGUUACUCAAGAGUGGCAGCAAGUGCUCAACAUUGUUAUAACUAAAAGAGUGCUCUGCCUGGAUGCCCUGGAGAGAGAAGAAUUUUUGCCCGAGUCAGAUUACAAGAGUUUGCCAGCUCAGUUGAAGACCAUUGUCAGAAGGAGAUUGCUGAAGUCGAUAGAUUACGACGCUGAAAAUGAUUUCGAUGUGGAAGAGUUGAAUGCACAACCAUUUGAGAUGUUUGAUGAUCUCUACUAUGACUACAAUGGAGAUGAUGAAUACCUCGGUUAUGAUGACGACAUGUAUGGUGUAUUCGACGACGAAUACGAAGAAUAUGAAGCCAGUGAUUAGGUUUUGUGGUUUAUUCGUAAUCAUGUCACUGGAAUAAUAUUGUCACUUCGAGUGACAAGUGGUGAUUAUUGUAAAUAUUGGAUUGUGAAUAUUCGUUCUAGUUGCAGCUUGUGUGUACAUUGUAUUUCCUACUGUAAAUAAAAUCUGUUUU